CCUACGGGUGACAGCAGUGGGGAAUAUUGCACAAUGGGGGAAACCCUGAUGCAGCGACGCCGCGUGAGUGAAGAAGUAAUUCGUUAUGUAAAGCUCUAUCAGCAGGGAAGAAAAUGACGGUACCUGAGUAAGAAGCCCCGGCUAACUACGUGCCAGCAGCCGCGGUAAUACGUAGGGGGCAAGCGUUAUCCGGAUUUACUGGGUGUAAAGGGAGCGUAGACGGCAGUGCAAGUCUGGAGUGAAAGGCGGGGGCUCAACCCCGCCGAGCCGUCGGAACUGGGGGCCUUGAGUGCGGCGGAGGCAUGCGGAAUGCGCGGUGUAGCGGUGAAAUGCAUAGAUAUUGCGCAGAACCCCGAUUGCGAAGGCAGCGUGCCGUGCCGCCACUGACGCUGAGGCACGAAAGCGCGGGGAUCGAACAGGAUUAGAUACCCGUGUAGUC
This 439-nucleotide ribosomal RNA is filed under the name uncultured bacterium. Its description in RNAcentral is "partial 16S ribosomal RNA". It matches the Rfam family "Bacterial small subunit ribosomal RNA", at positions 338 to 795 of the family's 1533-position model. The record is from RNAcentral.